This 253-nucleotide ribosomal RNA is filed under the name uncultured bacterium. RNAcentral's name for it is "partial 16S ribosomal RNA". It matches the Rfam family "Bacterial small subunit ribosomal RNA", at positions 524 to 776 of the family's 1533-position model. The record is from RNAcentral.
UACGGAGGGUGCAAGCGUUAUCCGGAUUCACUGGGUUUAAAGGGUGCGUAGGUGGGCAGGUAAGUCAGUGGUGAAAUCUCUGGGCUUAACCCGGAAACUGCCAUUGAUACUAUCUGUCUUGAAUACCGUGGAGGUUAGCGGAAUAUGUCAUGUAGCGGUGAAAUGCUUAGAUAUGACAUAGAACACCAAUUGCGAAGGCAGCUGGCUACACGAAUAUUGACACUGAUGCACGAAAGCGUGGGGAGCGAACAGG